Molecule: ribosomal RNA, 341 nt
Filed under: Bacillus paramycoides
Lineage: Bacteria; Bacillati; Bacillota; Bacilli; Caryophanales; Bacillaceae
Description: bacterial SSU rRNA
Rfam family: Bacterial small subunit ribosomal RNA
Source: RNAcentral
UUGAAAGGCGGCUUCGGCUGUCACUUAUGGAUGGACCCGCGUCGCAUUAGCUAGUUGGUGAGGUAACGGCUCACCAAGGCAACGAUGCGUAGCCGACCUGAGAGGGUGAUCGGCCACACUGGGACUGAGACACGGCCCAGACUCCUACGGGAGGCAGCAGUAGGGAAUCUUCCGCAAUGGACGAAAGUCUGACGGAGCAACGCCGCGUGAGUGAUGAAGGCUUUCGGGUCGUAAAACUCUGUUGUUAGGGAAGAACAAGUGCUAGUUGAAUAAGCUGGCACCUUGACGGUACCUAACCAGAAAGCCACGGCUAACUACGUGCCAGCAGCCGCGGUAAUACG